AACGAACGCUGGCGGCGUGGAUUAGGCAUGCAAGUCGAACGUGAAAGCGCUUAAGGGGUAACCCGGCGGCGCGAGUAAAGUGGCGAACGGGUGAGUAACGCGUGGGAAACCUGCUCCAGAGUGGGGGAGUAACAGUCCUAACGGACUGCUAAUACCGCAUGAUGCCAUGGGUCUUAUGAUUUCAUGGUUAAAGGAGGCCUCUGUUUCAAGCUUUCGCUCCGGAAUGGUCCCGCGUCCUANAGCUUGUUGGUAGGGUAACGGCCUACCAAGGCAACGAUGGGUAGCCGGCCUGAGAGGGUGGUCGGCCACACUGGGACUGAGAUACGGCCCAGACUCCUACGGGAGGCAGCAGUCGAGA
This 358-nucleotide ribosomal RNA is filed under the name uncultured bacterium. Its description in RNAcentral is "bacterial SSU rRNA". It matches the Rfam family "Bacterial small subunit ribosomal RNA", at positions 29 to 360 of the family's 1533-position model. The record is from RNAcentral.